UACAAAGCACAGGACUUUUUCGAUGGCUCGCUGGGUGAUCAAUCAAGAGAGAGAGGGGGGAGAGUGGAUUGAAGAAGCUCUUUUUGGGUCCUCGUCCCCGCGCAUGCCGUCGCGGCGGCGGCGGCGGUAUAGGAAGAGCAGGAGUAGGCCGGAGGUCUCUGGGCCUCGGGCGUCUAGGCCGUUGGAGCGCGGACCUAGAACGUCGAGCCCGGCACGAGGAGGGAGAGGAGGGGCCGUAUCCCGCGGACCACGAGCAGUAGGUGCUGCGUGGCCAGUGAGCAGAAGGUGCGGCGUGCCGCAAUUGGGGCCCAGUUUCUCUGCGAAGCGCCGACGGGGGUUUAGGGGGUGGUACGGGGCACGAGCGUUCGGAGCGGCACUCACCAGCCUGCCGCAGGGCGGGCUCGAAGAACCGCAGUAGAAGGAGCUGGACCGGACGGAGCGGCUGGCACAGACGAAGCGACGGCAGACGGCGAGCACCGCGAGACACCGCGCCCGACAACCGUGGGGCGGCCGCGGCGCGGUCGAGGGCACCGAGGAAGAGGGCAGGGGGCUGUUCGGGAGGAAGAAGUCGGAGGUGAGCCCCCGGUUUGCGGCGGAUGCGGAGGGCCUCUCGUAGGCGCCGCGCGCGAAUACACCGAGGGUACUACCGCCAACCCAGCGAGAUCGUAAGCUCGUCACCGCUCCCAUACGCCGGCAGUUGGAGGAGAGACCGCGCUGCCAAGGAGAGGGGCUGUCCGAGUCCUGACGCGUGGGCGAGCGAGGGGUCCGCUUGUGGCGGACGCUCGUGGUGUACCAGUAGGCGUGGUAGUGGAAGAGCCCCAGUGGGAGUCGUCUCUUGACGGAACGGCGGCGCGUACAGAGGUCGCGGAGGUUGUAGCGCAAGACCGCCGGCCCUUACUUGCCGGUGACCUAGUGAACGCCACAGCGCCAGCGAGACCUGCACUAGGUCCUGUAGUAGAUAAUGCUCUUACCCGACUUCGUUCCAAAGGUACAGGACAGUUUAUGUCUCCUGUAGCACCACAUGUGCGGGUUGUCGCAGCUCCCGCGGAGAGACCAAUACAGGGCAAGGUGGAUGGUCUAGGUCUUCGCGCGACUAAUGUCCGGACUAUUAGAGUCCGCGUUCAGCGAGUGUCACAGGGCGAUAGACCACCUUAGGGCGCCCUUUAACGAUUACCAGGACGCCGAACGGUCCGCACCGUUCGUACCCAAGUCUUAGAAACUCUACUUGGAACACCAACGAGGACGACCCCCGAGACUUCGAAGAACCCACCUCGAGGUGAGCGAAGGACCAGCCCACGAGAACGAACCAGCUCCGACGAGAUCCCGACAACUCCACAGAGUCAAGUUAUCCGAGGUUGACCCAUCGUAGAUAAUAAACCUGCUAUGAUCGAAGCUGUAUAGGAACCGCAAUUCGUCACCCUCGUUCAUAAGGUCAUGACUGUACCCACAAAUACCAGCGUUUUGUGAUUUAUCCCGCGCAUCACACGCCGCGAAAGGCGCUUUUAAAUGAAGUCUCCCGAGAGGUGGUUAGACCAAAUACGGGACUGAGUCAUACGUCAAACCACCUUAAAUCGUUCGGACAGAUCAUAGGAACGUUAAAAACGUCAUACGGUUUUCUACGAUCCGUGACAUAUAAGUCUUUAUUCUUUCAUCUAAGUACACUUGUUUACAUACCGUACAACCUUCGUAGUUAGUUAGUAUAAAACACAGGGAACUUGUAACAAUCUCAAACAAAUGAGGGAAAAACACCUUGGGAUUAGAUCGCAGCUUAAAACACUAUUAACACGAACCAACACAGUAGAUCGUUUGCUUUGAAGAGGCGCUCACCGGGCAUCGGAUACUCCGCAGAGUCCCGUGGCACUAGGUUUGUCUCGUACGUCAAGGGUCUACUUUGAUAACCACCUAUUGUCCUCGUUAACGGGUACGGAACUAUAAUCGAGCAUGAACCCCACGUUCCAGGGAGUACUACACAUCAUCCCGAACGGUACCCUCCAAAUCAGUUGAACAUCAGUCCAAAGUAGGAACUCGGUCCAUCUCUACAAGACUAUAGGAGACG
RNAcentral lists this ribosomal RNA (2056 nucleotides) under Triticum aestivum (bread wheat). RNAcentral's name for it is "partial small subunit ribosomal RNA". The record is from RNAcentral. Lineage: Eukaryota; Viridiplantae; Streptophyta; Magnoliopsida; Poales; Poaceae.